RNAcentral lists this long non-coding RNA (1030 nucleotides) under Homo sapiens (human). RNAcentral describes it as "non-protein coding lnc-CTAGE5-8:10". Lineage: Eukaryota; Metazoa; Chordata; Mammalia; Primates; Hominidae. The record is from RNAcentral.
GCACUCGCUGGUGUGUGGGGAAGCAGUGAGGACAGCGUCACCCUUUGGAUUCAGAGGGAGAGAAAAAAAUUGGCAAAGGGAUCUGAGAUCCGCAGGUUGUGACCAGCCUCUUCUCCAGGGCUUGAGGAAGGGUCUCUUUUCCCUGUGCUGAGAUUUAAGGCUCUCGUUGAAAAGUUCACAGUAAUGACAGAGCUUUGAUUUUUUUUCUUUCUUCUUCUUCUUUUUUUGCCUGGUAUCCCUAACUUAGAUUUUCCAAACCAUGUCCCUAACUUCACCACAGCCUACUGCAAAGUAAACUCUGGUUGCAAAGAGUGGUGAAGUCAGAAAAGAUUAAGUGACUUUAUGUAAUAAUCGAGGGUUGCUUUAGGGAGGCUGCCUCUUUAUGUAAUAAUUGAGAGUUGCUUUAGGGAGGCUGUGAUGUUGGAAUAGCAUCGUUCUUUUGUGGUAAACACCAAGACUUUUUGGACUUUUUUUUUUUUUUUUGGUUUUAAGGAGCGGAGAAUUUAAUAGGCAAGAAAGAAGGAAGAAGGCUGAAGGAAGAAGCUCCCCACUACAGAGACAGACGGAGGGGGCUCCCAAGACGAAAGAGGAGACCCCCAUUCUAGAUGUUCUUAACCCUUUGAGGGCAAAGCUCUCCGUUUAAUGCCUUGCACAUAUCAGGUUGCCAACAACAUGGUGUGGUUUAUCAAUUGUGAUAGGUUACUUAUUCGAGCCCCUGUUUACAAGAGUUUUAGAUUGCAUUUCUCUGGAAUGACCACAGCAAUAUUUCCAGCCCUUGAUGAUCUUCUAGAACUUUGCCACUUCCCUGCAUCAAGAGGAACCAUUUUCUGGGUAGACAUGAAUACUUUAAAAACCAAGCAUUUAUACACCAAUAACAGACAAACAGAGAGCCAAAUCAUGAGUGAACUCCCAUUCACAAUUGCUUCAAAGAGAAUCAAAUACCUAGGAAUCCAGCUUACAAGGGACGUGAGGGACCUCUUCAAAGGAGAACUACAAACCACUGCUCAAUGAAAUAAAAGAGGAUACAAAC